Long non-coding RNA from Gadus morhua (Atlantic cod), 1338 nucleotides. RefSeq lists it as uncharacterized. NCBI's taxonomy places the organism in Eukaryota, Metazoa, Chordata, Actinopteri, Gadiformes, Gadidae. The record is from RefSeq and is a predicted model, not a curated record. The transcript has 3 exons.
GCACCUCUCAAACACUGCCUGAAGCACCUCUCAAACACUGCCUGAAACACCCUCAAACACUGCCUGAAACACCUCUCAAACCCUGCCUGAAACACCUCUCAAACCCUGCCUGAAACACCUCUCAAACACUGCCUGAAACACCCUCAAACACUGCCUGAAACACCUCUCAAACACUGCCUGAAGCACCUCUCAAACACUGCCUGAAGCAACUCUCAAACACUGCCUGAAACACCCUCAAACACUGCCUGAAACACCUCUCAAACACUGCCUGAAGCACCUCUCAAACACUGCCUGAAACACCCUCAAACACUGCCUGAAACACCUCUCAAACACUGCCUGAAACACUGCCUUGUUUGCAUUUAUGUCCGUGACAAUAUGACGUCGGACUCACGAAAGUGCAGAAGUCCCGCCUCCAGGCUGCUUAGCCACGCCCUCAAACAAAUCUAUUUAGAGCGGUGGCCGGUAGACUUGGGUUAGCUGUAUCGCCAAGUCUAGCAGACCCUGUUCUUGGUGCAAGAAGUAAUUCCGACCUGAAGAUGGAGCGGUAGCAGUUAACUGUUACUGCCCUUCCACAGUACAGCCCCCGCCUUGCAUUUUGUUCACUUUAUUUUCCGAGGAAUGCUUCCAGAACUAGGCACAGUAAAGUUACGAUGCAGGAUCAUUCGCUCCGGUUACUUUUUGGAGACGAGGCAGUUUCCACUUUGUUGGCCCAACCUGAACCUCCAGGAUCACGACCGGUACUUCUUGGCGAUCAUGCGUCUCAAAGAAAAUGCAGACCUCAAGCUAAAACUUCUGCAGGACAAGCUGUCUUCAAGGACAUGUUCACCAAGUCCAGAUAGAGGGAAUGCACCGCAAGGGCAACAGAACAGACCCUACAUACAACUGUGGAUGGCCUGCUAAGUUGAUCCCCACCGACCUGUUGUCCCAGUAUGAGGAACCCUCAAAGGAGGAAGUUGUCUCCUGCUUCAAUCAAGUGGCGCCCGGAAUCAUGCAUAAUGUCCAGCCAAAUCGUUAUGCAUGCUUGUCCUGCAGAAGUUAUAGAUAAGGGAACUCCUGGUGUUUCCUGUCAUUCAACUAUGGCCACUGUUUCACUGUAUCCCUUAAUGGGACUGGUUACAUGUUGCCGGAGAUGUCCAUGCACCUUUUGUCUGAUUUCUGGUAGUAUAAGCAAGCUCACAUUUAACCAAGAGACUGCUUAAAAAGGAUGACUCAGAAAAUGCUUUGGGGAACUAUAAAGCACAGUAUUACACCUCAGACAGCUUGCAGUUAAACAUAUUACUAUGCGAGUCAUGAAUUCAAGCAGGAUCAGUGAACCAUAGCCAGCCUUGAAGAUAAGCA